AGGGCGCACGGUGGAUGCCUUGGCACUAGAAGCCGAAGAAGGACGUUACUAACGACGAUAUGCUUUGGGGAGCUGUAAGUAAGCGUUGAUCCAGAGAUUUCCGAAUGGGGAAACCCAACAUGAGUUAUGUCAUGUUAUCGAUAUGUGAAUACAUAGCAUAUCAGAAGGCAGACCCGGAGAACUGAAACAUCUUAGUACCCGGAGGAAGAGAAAGAAAAAUCGAUUCCCUGAGUAGCGGCGAGCGAAACGGGAAGAGCCCAAACCAACAAGCUUGCUUGUUGGGGUUGUAGGACACUCUAUACGGAGUUACAAAAGUAUAUAUUAGACGAAUCAUCUGGAAAGUUGAAUCAAAGAAGGUAAUAAUCCUGUAGUCGAAAAUAUAUACUCUCUUGAGUGGAUCCUGAGUACGACGGAGCACGUGAAAUUCCGUCGGAAUCUGGGAGGACCAUCUCCUAAGGCUAAAUACUCUCUAGUGACCGAUAGUGAACCAGUACCGUGAGGGAAAGGUGAAAAGUACCCCGGAAGGGGAGUGAAAGAGAACUUGAAACCGUGUGCUUACAAGUAGUCAGAGCCCGUUAAUGGGUGAUGGCGUGCCUUUUGUAGAAUGAACCGGCGAGUUACGAUUUGAUGCAAGGUUAAGCAGUGAAUGUGGAGCCGUAGCGAAAGCGAGUCUGAAUAGGGCGUUGAGUAUUUGGUCGUAGACCCGAAACCAGGUGAUCUACCCUUGGUCAGGUUGAAGUUCAGGUAACACUGAAUGGAGGACCGAACCGACUUACGUUGAAAAGUGAGCGGAUGAACUGAGGGUAGCGGAGAAAUUCCAAUCGAACCUGGAGAUAGCUGGUUCUCUCCGAAAUAGCUUUAGGGCUAGCCUCAAGUGAUGAUUAUUGGAGGUAGAGCACUGUUUGGACGAGGGGCCCUUCUCGGGUUACCGAAUUCAGACAAACUCCGAAUGCCAAUCAAUUUAACUUGGGAGUCAGAACAUGGGUGAUAAGGUCCGUGUUCGAAAGGGAAACAGCCCAGACCACCAGCUAAGGUCCCAAAAUAUAUGUUAAGUGGAAAAGGAUGUGGCGUUGCCCAGACAACUAGGAUGUUGGCUUAGAAGCAGCCAUCAUUUAAAGAGUGCGUAAUAGCUCACUAGUCGAGUGACACUGCGCCGAAAAUGUACCGGGGCUAAACAUAUUACCGAAGCUGUGGAUUGUCCGUAGGACAAUGGUAGGAGAGCGUUCUAAGGGCGUUGAAGCAUGAUCGCAAGGACAUGUGGAGCGCUUAGAAGUGAGAAUGCCGGUGUGAGUAGCGAAAGACGGGUGAGAAUCCCGUCCACCGAUUGACUAAGGUUUCCAGAGGAAGGCUCGUCCGCUCUGGGUUAGUCGGGUCCUAAGCUGAGGCCGACAGGCGUAGGCGAUGGAUAACAGGUUGAUAUUCCUGUACCACCUAGUAUCGUUUUAAUCGAUGGGGGGACGCAGUAGGAUAGGCGAAGCGUGCUAUUGGAUUGCACGUCCAAGCAGUAAGACUGAGUGUUAGGCAAAUCCGGCACUCGUAAGGUCAAGCUGUGAUGGGGAGAGGAAAUUGUUUCCUCGAGUCGUUGAUUUCACACUGCCAAGAAAAGCCUCUAGAUAGAUAACAGGUGCCCGUACCGCAAACCGACACAGGUAGUCAAGAUGAGAAUUCUAAGGUGAGCGAGCGAACUCUCGUUAAGGAACUCGGCAAAAUGACCCCGUAACUUCGGGAGAAGGGGUGCUCUUUAGGGUUAACGCCCAGAAGAGCCGCAGUGAAUAGGCCCAAGCGACUGUUUAUCAAAAACACAGGUCUCUGCUAAACCGUAAGGUGAUGUAUAGGGGCUGACGCCUGCCCGGUGCUGGAAGGUUAAGAGGAGUAGUUAGCUUCUGCGAAGCUACGAAUCGAAGCCCCAGUAAACGGCGGCCGUAACUAUAACGGUCCUAAGGUAGCGAAAUUCCUUGUCGGGUAAGUUCCGACCCGCACGAAAGGCGUAACGAUUUGGGCACUGUCUCAACGAGAGACUCGGUGAAAUCAUAGUACCUGUGAAGAUGCAGGUUACCCGCGACAGGACGGAAAGACCCCGUGGAGCUUUACUGUAGCCUGAUAUUGAAAUUCGGCACAGCUUGUACAGGAUAGGUAGGAGCCUUUGAAACGUGAGCGCUAGCUUACGUGGAGGCAUUGGUGGGAUACUACCCUAGCUGUGUUGGCUUUCUAACCCGCACCACUUAUCGUGGUGGGAGACAGUGUCAGGUGGGCAGUUUGACUGGGGCGGUCGCCUCCUAAAAGGUAACGGAGGCGCUCAAAGGUUCCCUCAGAAUGGUUGGAAAUCAUUCAUAGAGUGUAAAGGCAUAAGGGAGCUUGACUGCGAGACUUACAAGUCGAGCAGGGUCGAAAGACGGACUUAGUGAUCCGGUGGUUCCGCAUGGAAGGGCCAUCGCUCAACGGAUAAAAGCUACCCCGGGGAUAACAGGCUUAUCUCCCCCAAGAGUUCACAUCGACGGGGAGGUUUGGCACCUCGAUGUCGGCUCAUCGCAUCCUGGGGCUGUAGUCGGUCCCAAGGGUUGGGCUGUUCGCCCAUUAAAGCGGUACGCGAGCUGGGUUCAGAACGUCGUGAGACAGUUCGGUCCCUAUCCGUCGUGGGCGUAGGAAAUUUGAGAGGAGCUGUCCUUAGUACGAGAGGACCGGGAUGGACAUACCUCUGGUGUACCAGUUGUCGUGCCAACGGCAUAGCUGGGUAGCUAUGUAUGGACGGGAUAAGUGCUGAAAGCAUCUAAGCAUGAAGCCCCCCUCAAGAUGAGAUUUCCCAACUUCGGUUAU
RNAcentral lists this ribosomal RNA (2814 nucleotides) under Staphylococcus sp. URHA0057. RNAcentral describes it as "bacterial LSU rRNA". It matches the Rfam family "Bacterial large subunit ribosomal RNA". The record is from RNAcentral. Lineage: Bacteria; Bacillati; Bacillota; Bacilli; Caryophanales; Staphylococcaceae.